This 328-nucleotide ribosomal RNA is filed under the name uncultured eukaryote. Its description in RNAcentral is "partial 18S ribosomal RNA". It matches the Rfam family "Eukaryotic small subunit ribosomal RNA", at positions 1470 to 1796 of the family's 1831-position model. The record is from RNAcentral.
CCCUUAGAUGUCCGGGGCUGCACGCGCGCUACACUGAAGGAAUCAGCGUGCUAAAACCAUUGUCGGAAGGCAUUGGUAAACCCAUUAAAAUCCUACGUGAUUGGGAUCGGGAAUUGCAAUUAUUUCCCUUGAACGAGGAAUUCCCAGUAAGUGUGGGUCAUAAGCUCGCGUUGAUUACGUCCCUGCCCUUUGUACACACCGCCCGUCGCUGCCCGGGACUGAGCCGUUUCGAGAAAAGCGGGGACUGCUGCUGUCGGGGCUUUCGGGCCUUGGCUUCGGUGGAAACCGCUUUAAUCGCAGUGGCUUGAACCGGGCAAAAGUCGUAACA